This 831-nucleotide ribosomal RNA is filed under the name uncultured soil archaeon. Its description in RNAcentral is "bacterial SSU rRNA". It matches the Rfam family "Archaeal small subunit ribosomal RNA", at positions 21 to 852 of the family's 1478-position model. The record is from RNAcentral.
AGGUUACUGCUAUCGGUGUUCGCCUAAGCCCAUGCGAGUCAUAUGUUCGUAAGAACAUGGCGUACUGCUCAGUAACACGUGGAUAACCUGCCUUUGGUCCGGCAUAACCCCGGGAAACUGGGGAUAAUUCCGGAUAACGCACAUAUGCUGGAAUGCUUUAUGCGUAAAAUGGAUUCGUCUGCCCAAGGAUGGGUCUGCGCCCUAUCAGGUAGUAGUGGGUGUAAUGUACCUACUAGCCUACGACGGGUACGGGUUGUGAGAGCAAGAGCCCGGAGAUGGAUUGUGAGACAUGAAUCCAGGCCUUACGGGGCGCAGCAGGCGCGAAAACCUUACAAUGCGGGAAACCGUGAUAAGGGGACACCGAGUGCCAGCAUCCUAUGCUGGCUGUCCGGGUGUGUAAAAUACACCUGUUAGCAAGGGCCGGGCAAGACCGGUGCCAGCCGCCGCGGUAACACCGGCGGCCCGAGUGGUGAUCGUGAUUAUUGGGUCUAAAGGGUCCGUAGCCGGUUUGGUCAGUCCUCCGGGAAAUCUGACAGCUUAACUGUUAGGCUUUCGGAGGAUACUGCCAGACUUGGAACCGGGAGAGGUAAGAGGUACUACAGGGGUAGGAGUGAAAUCUUGUAAUCCCUGUGGGACCACCUGUGGCGAAGGCGUCUUACCAGAACGGGUUCGACGGUGAGGGACGUAAGCUGGGGGCACGAACCGGAUUAGAUACCCGGGUAGUCCCAGCCGUAAACGAUGCUCGCUAGGUGUCAGGCAUGGCGCGACCGUGUCUGGUGCCGCAGGGAAGCCGUGAAGCGAGCCACCUGGGAAGUACGGCCGCAAGGCUGA